AACUACACAAUUAGGAAAUUAUUAUUAAAAGAAAAACAUACACAAAAACUUACAUAGAUAUGUCAAGAUUAUUAUAAUUACUACAUUAUACAUCGAACAAGAGUCUGUUAAACAAUAUCAGAAAGAAUAAACUAAACGAAGAAGAAAAUUCCAGAAGCAGAGGAAAGCAAAUGAAUAGAUUCAUCAAAUCUUGUAGUGUUAUUUCCGCACCGGCCUUAUUAACAGAAUCUCUAUCUUAUAAACCGGCCAUCUUGGGAGGUUUGUGAUCUUGUCGAGUGAUAUUAUAUGGGUUGACUCUCGUUUCUCUUCUUGAUAAAGUCCAAGAGAAAAAGGUCUUCCAAAAUCGAUAGGCUGGGAAUUUGAUCCUCUCUCAUAAAGGCGCACACUCGUGAUUAGAAGAUGCAUCUACAAGUGCCAAAAAAAAAUUGAGAUUCAAUACAACAAGCAGUUUAAAUAACUGAUUGAAAAUAUACACCUUCUACAGAAGAUUAACCAUACGUAAUGCAAACUGCAAUUAGUGAUUGUGAAAAUUUAGAAACCAAAAAAGAGACGGCUUCAAUUUUGUACAAGAACAGUUCUUAGGUUUGUAGGUAAACUUGUGAAUGAGGGAGAG
Molecule: long non-coding RNA, 613 nt
Filed under: Brassica napus (rape)
Lineage: Eukaryota; Viridiplantae; Streptophyta; Magnoliopsida; Brassicales; Brassicaceae
Description: long non-coding RNA (BNAP_LNC020846)
Source: RNAcentral